This 84-nucleotide transfer RNA is filed under the name Patescibacteria group bacterium. Its description in RNAcentral is "tRNA-Leu". It matches the Rfam family "tRNA". From Rfam's summary of the family: Transfer RNA (tRNA) molecules are approximately 80 nucleotides in length. The record is from RNAcentral.
GCCCAGGUGGCGAAAUUGGUAGACGCGCAAGCUUGAGGGGCUUGUGUCUUUCGAGAUGUGCGGGUUCGACUCCCGCCCUGGGCA